This 78-nucleotide transfer RNA is filed under the name Perca fluviatilis (European perch). RNAcentral describes it as "tRNA-Arg". It matches the Rfam family "tRNA". Rfam says of the family: Transfer RNA (tRNA) molecules are approximately 80 nucleotides in length. Lineage: Eukaryota; Metazoa; Chordata; Actinopteri; Perciformes; Percidae. The record is from RNAcentral.
AACCGCGUCAAGCGCCUAAUGGACAAGGGCGUCUGACUUCGAAUCAGAAGAUUGAGGGUUCGAGUCCCUUCGUGGUUA